UGGGGAAUUUUGGACAAUGGGCGAAAGCCUGAUCCAGCAAUGCCGCGUGUGUGAAGAAGGCCUUCGGGUUGUAAAGCACUUUUGUCCGGAAAGAAAUCCUUGGCUCUAAUACAGUCGGGGGAUGACGGUACCGGAAGAAUAAGCACCGGCUAACUACGUGCCAGCAGCCGCGGUAAUACGUAGGGUGCAAGCGUUAAUCGGAAUUACUGGGCGUAAAGCGUGCGCAGGCGGUUUGCUAAGACCGAUGUGAAAUCCCCGGGCUCAACCUGGGAACUGCAUUGUGACUGGCAGGCUAGAGUAUGGCAGAGGGGGGUAGAAUUCCACGUGUAGCAGUGAAAUGCGUAGAGAUGUGGAGGAAUACCGAUGGCGAAGGCAGCCCCCUGGGCCAAUACUGACGCUCAUGCACGAAAGCGUGGGGAGCAAACAGGAUUAGAUACCCUGGUAGUCCACGCCCUAAACGAUGUCAACUAGUUGUGGGGAUUCAUUUCCUUAGUAACGUAGCUAACGCGUGAAGUUGACCGCCUGGGGAGUAC
This 533-nucleotide ribosomal RNA is filed under the name uncultured bacterium. RNAcentral describes it as "partial 16S ribosomal RNA". It matches the Rfam family "Bacterial small subunit ribosomal RNA", at positions 355 to 883 of the family's 1533-position model. The record is from RNAcentral.